GGGGAUAUAGUUCAGUGGUAAAGUGUCUGCCUAGCAUGCAGGAGACCCUAGGUUCUAUUCCAAGUACCA
Molecule: transfer RNA, 69 nt
Filed under: Ictidomys tridecemlineatus (thirteen-lined ground squirrel)
Lineage: Eukaryota; Metazoa; Chordata; Mammalia; Rodentia; Sciuridae
Description: Spermophilus tridecemlineatus (thirteen-lined ground squirrel) tRNA
Rfam family: tRNA
About the family: Transfer RNA (tRNA) molecules are approximately 80 nucleotides in length. Their secondary structure includes four short double-helical elements and three loops (D, anti-codon, and T loops).
Source: Rfam by way of RNAcentral